Molecule: ribosomal RNA, 497 nt
Filed under: uncultured bacterium
Lineage: Bacteria
Description: partial 16S ribosomal RNA
Rfam family: Bacterial small subunit ribosomal RNA
Source: RNAcentral
GAUGAACGCUGGCGGCGUGCCUAAUACAUGCAAGUCGAGCGAACAGAUGAGGAGCUUGCUCCUCUGACGUUAGCGGCGGAUGGGUGAGUAACACGUGGAUAACCUACCUAUAAGACUGGGAUAACUUCGGGAAACCGGAGCUAAUACCGGAUAAUAUAUUGAACCGCAUGGUUCAAUAGUGAAAGACGGUUUUGCUGUCACUUAUGGAUGGAUCCGCGCCGCAUUAGCUAGUUGGUAAGGUAACGGCUUACCAAGGCAACGAUGCGUAGCCGACCUGAGAGGGUGAUCGGCCACACUGGAACUGAGACACGGUCCAGACUCCUACGGGAGGCAGCAGUAGGGAAUCUUCCGCAAUGGGCGAAAGCCUGACGGAGCAACGCCGCGUGAGUGAUGAAGGUCUUCGGAUCGUAAAACUCUGUUAUUAGGGAAGAACAAAUGUGUAAGUAACUAUGCACGUCUUGACGGUACCUAAUCAGAAAGCCACGGCUAACUACGUG